AUUGAACGCUGGCGGCAGGCCUAACACAUGCAAGUCGAGCGGUAGAGAGGUGCUUGCAUCUCUUGAGAGCGGCGGACGGGUGAGUAAUGCCUAGGAAUCUGCCCUAGUGGUGGGGGAUAACGUUCGGAAACGGACGCUAAUACCGCAUACGUCCUACGGGAGAAAGCGGGGGAUCUUCGGACCUCGCGCCAUUAGAUGAGCCUAGGUCGGAUUAGCUAGUUGGUGAGGUAAUGGCUCACCAAGGCGACGAUCCGUAACUGGUCUGAGAGGAUGAUCAGUCACACUGGAACUGAGACACGGUCCAGACUCCUACGGGAGGCAGCAGUGGGGGGAAUUUUGGACAAUGGGCGCAAGCCUGAUCCAGCAAUGCCGCGUGCAGGAUGAAGGCC
This 389-nucleotide ribosomal RNA is filed under the name uncultured bacterium. RNAcentral's name for it is "bacterial SSU rRNA". It matches the Rfam family "Bacterial small subunit ribosomal RNA", at positions 30 to 416 of the family's 1533-position model. The record is from RNAcentral.